RNAcentral lists this ribosomal RNA (468 nucleotides) under uncultured bacterium. RNAcentral describes it as "partial 16S ribosomal RNA". It matches the Rfam family "Bacterial small subunit ribosomal RNA", at positions 28 to 507 of the family's 1533-position model. The record is from RNAcentral.
GACGAACGCUGGCGGCGUGCUUAACACAUGCAAGUCGAACGGAAAGGCCCUGCUUUUGUGGGGUUCUCGAGUGGCGAACGGGUGAGUAACACGUGAGUAACCUGCCCUUGACUUUGGGAUAACUUCAGGAAACUGGGGCUAAUACCGGAUAGGAGCUCCUGCUGCAUGGUGGGGGUUGGAAAGUUUCGGCGGUUGGGGAUGGACUCGCGGCUUAUCAGCUUGUUGGUGGGGUAGUGGCUUACCAAGGCUUUGACGGGUAGCCGGCCUGAGAGGGUGACCGGCCACAUUGGGACUGAGAUACGGCCCAGACUCCUACGGGAGGCAGCAGUGGGGAAUAUUGCACAAUGGGCGGAAGCCUGAUGCAGCAACGCCGCGUGCGGGAUGACGGCCUUCGGGUUGUAAACCGCUUUCGCCUGUGACGAAGCGUGAGUGGCGGUAAUGGGUAAAGAAGCACCGGCUAACUACGUG